RNAcentral lists this ribosomal RNA (490 nucleotides) under uncultured bacterium. RNAcentral describes it as "partial 16S ribosomal RNA". It matches the Rfam family "Bacterial small subunit ribosomal RNA", at positions 28 to 507 of the family's 1533-position model. The record is from RNAcentral.
GAUGAACGCUAGCUACAGGCUUAACACAUGUAAGUCGAGGGGCAGCGGGAUUGAAGCUUGCUUCAAUUGCCGGCGACCGGCGCACGGGUGAGUAACGCGUAUCCAACCUUCCGUACACUCAGGGAUAGCCUUUCGAAAGAAAGAUUAAUACCUGAUGGUAUGAUGAGAUUGCAUGAUAUCAUCAUUAAAGAUUUAUCGGUGUACGAUGGGGAUGCGUUCCAUUAGGUAGUAGGCGGGGUAACGGCCCACCUAGCCAACGAUGGAUAGGGGUUCUGAGAGGAAGGUCCCCCACAUUGGAACUGAGACACGGUCCAAACUCCUACGGGAGGCAGCAGUGAGGAAUAUUGGUCAAUGGACGAGAGUCUGAACCAGCCAAGUAGCGUGAAGGAUGAAGGUCCUACGGAUUGUAAACUUCUUUUAUAAGGGAAUAAACCCUCCCACGUGUGGGAGCUUGUAUGUACCUUAUGAAUAAGCAUCGGCUAACUCCGUG